This is a non-coding RNA of Paramuricea clavata, 165 nucleotides long. NCBI's taxonomy places the organism in Eukaryota, Metazoa, Cnidaria, Anthozoa, Malacalcyonacea, Plexauridae. The record is from the annotation of a GenBank genome assembly.
GCAGGAGCUUUCUAAAGUGGUAGCUAUUGAUUUGAAGCUGUAAAUUACUAUUUAAAACUGACUAUUCUCUAGCUGAUUAUAACUAAAUAGUUCAUCAGAGGAUAGUCAGUUUUAAAUAGUAAUUUACAGCUUCAGAUCAAUAGUUAUCACUUUAGAAAGCUCCUG